GCGGGCGGAGCUGUCGCCUUUCCCGCAGAGCUGGGGCGCUCCCGGGAGCGGCAGGAAGCUCCCCGGGCUGCUGCGGGGCUCGGCCGCCCUGCCCGGGCUGCUCCCGGCAGCUCCGGCGGGCACGGCUCUGGGGGAGCCGCUAGCGCUGGUUUCAGGUGCGAGCCUUGCACUGCUGCUACAGCCCCAGGUUUCCUUAUGUAAUUUUAGGGUUUUCCUCUGAAGUGCUGACAAGGUUUUCUCGAACCCGGUGACUGUCGUAGGUGUGACAUCUCAGUUCCCCCAGGAUGGAAUUCUUUGGAGACCUCAGGUUCUCUCUUUUCAGGAUAUUGCAUCACCUAAGGGAGCCUUCACUUUUUGUUCUUCCGUGCAGUUCCCGAAGUGCAGCGGAGUCUCGGAUGGAUUCUGUGUGCCCAAAGCGAGCAGUGCUUUAAUCAUCACUUGCUGUGACUAAGAGUUGCAGAAUAAGUUGGAUAUCCAUGGUAGAAUGCAUGGAGAAAUUGCUAUAGUAAACAUUUUUGGCUAAUUUCCCUGUUUUAUUUUUAUACUGACAGUCACUUAGAUUCUGCCUUUCCAAAAUCCUUGCCAUCGACACUAGUGACUUGCUGUGUGCUUCAAGUACCUAAAACUUUUGCUGUUCUUGCAAUGCUUUUAGCUAGUGGUUCCUUAAAGCAACUUUUGUUUUUAUCUCACUAGUGUGAAAUGUCAUUAAAAAAACAGUCUUUACUGUGUGAACCUGGCUUGUCUCCUGUUUGUGAUCAGAUCUUUCUUGUGCCAUGGUUCAUAUCAGGAUCAGUACAAAACUGUUGUUGCUGAUGCUCUCAGAUGAAGAGUGACAUUUAAAAACUGUUCUCAGUCUUUGUAGGAAAUUGAUGCUGCUGAAUCAUGUGGAACAUAAAAUUGUCUGUGACUCUGAUCAGUGGUGUUUUUGGCAUUGCUUGGUGUGUGGCAGAGGGCAUUUUGCUGCUGCUGGGCUGGACUCUUAUGUAGUAUCCCAGGCUGUCUCCUGGGUUGAGAUGGUUAGUUCCUGAAAGGUCUUACUUCAAGUAAACACAAGUGGCUGCCCUUAAUUUUUUAUGUGUCUAUCUUCACAUAGACUUCUUAAUUAUGGGGUUUGAAAAGUGUCAUAGUAAGUAAUUUAGUGGUAUUUUAUUUCAAAUUGUGUUCUUUCACCCCUUCCUGUGUCUUGAGCUCUGAUCUGUUUGGUAUGGUAAUAGUAACUCUCGGUGCGAAUUUAAAAAGCACUUAGUUUAGGUCUCAUAUGACUGGAGAUUCCUGUUGGUUUCGGAGGGACAAGAUCACUCUAGACCGCAGUAUCGUUAUUAAACAAAAAUAAAAA
This is a non-coding RNA of Taeniopygia guttata (zebra finch), 1336 nucleotides long. The record is from RefSeq and is a predicted model, not a curated record. Lineage: Eukaryota; Metazoa; Chordata; Aves; Passeriformes; Estrildidae.